UGGGGAAUUUUGCACAAUGGGGGAAACCCUGAUGCAGCGACGCCGCGUGAUUUAGAAGGCCUUCGGGUUGUAAAAAUCUUUUUUACGGGAUGAAAAUGACAGUACCGUAAGAAUAAGGUCCGGCUAAAUACGUGCCAGCAGCCGCGGUAAUACGUAUGGACCGAGCGUUGUCCGGAAUCAUUGGGCGUAAAGGGUACGUAGGCGGCCUAGUAAGUUAGAAGUGAAAUAAUAUAGCUCAACUAUAUAAAGCUUUUAAAACUGCUAGGCUUGAGAGAUGGAAGGGAAAGUGGAAUUCCUAGUGUAGCGGUGAAAUGCGUAGAUAUUAGGAAGAAUACCGGUGGCGAAGGCGACUUUCUGGUCAUCAUCUGACGCUGAGGUACGAAAGCGUGGGUAGCAAACAGG
This 402-nucleotide ribosomal RNA is filed under the name bacterium. RNAcentral describes it as "partial 16S ribosomal RNA". It matches the Rfam family "Bacterial small subunit ribosomal RNA", at positions 355 to 776 of the family's 1533-position model. The record is from RNAcentral.